RNAcentral lists this ribosomal RNA (254 nucleotides) under uncultured bacterium. RNAcentral's name for it is "partial 16S ribosomal RNA". It matches the Rfam family "Bacterial small subunit ribosomal RNA", at positions 524 to 776 of the family's 1533-position model. The record is from RNAcentral.
UACGUAGGGUGCGAGCGUUUGUCCGGAAUUAUUGGGCGUAAAGAGCUCGUAGGCGGUGUGUCGCGUCGGCCGUGAAAACCCGGGGCUCAACUCCGGGCUUGCAUUCGAUACGGGCAGGCUAGAGUUCGGUAGGGGAGUCUGGAAUUCCUGGUGUAGCGGUGAAAUGCGCAGAUAUCAGGAGGAACACCGGUGGCGAAGGCGGGACUCUGGGCCGAUACUGACGCUGAGGAGCGAAAGCAUGGGUAGCAAACAGG